CGGACGGGUGAGUAAUGCCUAGGAAUCUGCCUGGUAGUGGGGGACAACGUUUCGAAAGGAACGCUAAUACCGCAUACGUCCUACGGGAGAAAGCAGGGGACCUUCGGGCCUUGAGCUAUCAGAUGAGCCUAGGUCGGAUUAGCUAGUUGGUGAGGUAAUGGCUCACCAAGGCGACGAUCCGUAACUGGUCUGAGAGGAUGAUCAGUCACACUGGAACUGAGACACGGUCCAGACUCCUACGGGAGGCAGCAGUG
This 254-nucleotide ribosomal RNA is filed under the name uncultured Pseudomonas sp. RNAcentral's name for it is "partial 16S ribosomal RNA". It matches the Rfam family "Bacterial small subunit ribosomal RNA", at positions 99 to 356 of the family's 1533-position model. The record is from RNAcentral. Lineage: Bacteria; Pseudomonadati; Pseudomonadota; Gammaproteobacteria; Pseudomonadales; Pseudomonadaceae.